GUAGUGCCGUUUAUGGGGGAAUCUAUAACUGAUGGAACUUUAGCAACCUUUUUAAAAAAACCCGGUGACAGAGUUGAAGUUGAUGAACCAAUUGCUCAGAUCGAAACUGACAAGGUGACUAUUGAUGUUACCAGUCCUGAAGCCGGGGUUAUCCAGAAGUUCGUAGCUGAGGAAGGCGAUACUGUGAGUCCAGGAACUAAGGUGGCUGUCAUCUCGAAAUCUGCUGCCAGCGAUACCCAUGUUGCUCCAUCUGAAGAGAAAACACCUAAAGAAGCUCCUAAGCCGGCUCCUGCCUCGAAGCCAGCUCCUGCAGAAGAGCCGGUUAAGCAAAAACCUAAAGUGGAAGCUGAGAAACCUAAACCAUCUACUGCACCUCCUCCUAAAGUUUCUCCAUCUGAGCCUCAGCUUCCUCCCAAGGAGAGGGAAAGACGAGUUCGUAUGCCGAGACUCAGGCAACGCAUUGCCAAUCGCUUGAAGGAUUCCCAGAACACAUUUGCACUCCUAACUACGUUUAACGAAGUGGACAUGACAAAUUUGAUGAAACUUCGUUCUGAUUACAAAGAUGCGUUCACGGAAAAGCAUGGUGUGAAGUUGGGACUUAUGUCUGGUUUUGUCAAAGCUGCUGUUAGUGCACUGCAGAACCAGCCUGUCAUCAACGCAGUCAUUGAUGGCGAGGACAUCAUUUAUAGGGAUUACAUUGAUAUCAGUAUCGCUGUUGGUACACCUAAGGGCCUUGUGGUGCCAGUUGUUCGAAAUGCUGAACACAUGAACUUCGCUGAAAUAGAGAGUACAAUCAACACUCUUGCGAAGAAGGCAGCUAGCGGGACGAUCUCGAUAGACGAAAUGGCCGGUGGGACAUUUACAAUUUCCAAUGGUGGUGUCUAUGGCAGCCUUUUGAGCACUCCUAUCAUCAAUCCCCCACAAUCGGCCAUCCUUGGCAUGCAUUCGAUUGUCCAAAGACCGAUGGUGGUUGAUGGGAGUAUUACUGUGAGGCCGAUGAUGUACCUUGCACUGACUUAUGAUCACAGACUGAUUGAUGGUAGAGAGGCGGUCCUGUUUCUCCGUCGUAUCAAGGAUGUGGUUGAAGACCCACGCAGGCUUCUCCUCGAUUUGUAGGCAUGUGGCGAGUUAAUCGCCAUUGCUUUCCCUACUUUCUUUGCAGCGAAUAAUGUCAGUGAAAAACAGAAAUUUUGGUUUGCGUUUAUUGAACGAUUAGCCUCUUGUUGUUGUGGGGUUUGUGAUUAUUCGGUCGGCUCUGGCACUGGGAUAUUAUGACAGUAUGUUUUACUGUACUUAGAGAUGGAAGGUUAACUAUUUUGAGUUUGUGUAAUAUAAGCAGCGGAUUUUGCCCG
This 1352-nucleotide unclassified non-coding RNA is filed under the name Hevea brasiliensis (rubber tree). The record is from RNAcentral. Lineage: Eukaryota; Viridiplantae; Streptophyta; Magnoliopsida; Malpighiales; Euphorbiaceae.